GUAACCUUGGUCAAAAAGAAGUCAGAUUUUUGGUUAGUGUAAUAUCUAAACAAGGGUGUCAGCCUGACCCAAAGAACCUGGAAGGUAUAAAUGGUAUGAAAGAUCCCCAAAAUGUAAAGGAUGUUAAAAGAUUGUUAGGGAUGGUAGGUUUUUAUAGACAUCACAUAGAAAACUUUGCUAAAAUAGCAAUACCCUUAACAAAUGUCACUAAGGAAGAAGGUAAAUUUAUUUGGAAGGAUCAGUGCGAGGUUGCUUGUCACAAACUAAAAGAAGCACUGAUGUCAUCAGCUAUUCUUGUGAAGGCAGAUGUUGGAAAACCACUGACCAUGACAACAGAUGCCAGCAAUUAUGCAGUUGGAUGAGUUCUAAGGCAGGUACAAGCAGACGGUGAAUUAGGUGUAAUUGGUUAUUUCAUGAAAAAAAGUAAACCAGGCAGAGGUAAACUAUUCAGCUACAGGUAAAGAGGCUUAAGGAGUAGUGUUGGCUUGUGGUAAUUUUGCACAUUAUAUAUGGGGAAACGGUGUGACAAUCUAUACUGAGCACCAGCCUCUUGUAUCCGUUUUUCACAGAAGGACCAAGUAUGAACGGAUGGAUUUUUGAAAUGCGGGGACAUACUUACAAGAUGAAAUACAUGAAGGGAAAGCAAAAUGUUGCUGCAGAUAUGUUAUGGAUACCAGUGUAUAAUGUGAAAGUAAUAACUGGAAAUUCUGAUAUUUUUGGUUUAAGUGUAGAAAAAUUUAAAAGUAAAGAAGGGGAGACAGAUAAAUGGAUGGCAGUAAUACAUGACUUAGAAGGUGAGCCCUUACCAGGAAACCUAAAGAAAAGUGUUUUGCCUAACUUUGAGUCAGAUGAAGGUCUGUUGUAAUAUGGCAAAAAGCGUAAUGAUGGCAGUAUCUGCUAUAGUAUAGUUGUAGCUAAAGAAUGAAGAGCUAAAGCAUGUAAGCUUUCACUUGAAAGGGUUGGACAUAUGAGUAUUAUAAAAAAAAAAAAAAUGAUUGUGAAGGUUUCUUUUGGGCACUGGGAAACCUCUUUCACAGUCAGUUGGUAAUUUCCCUCGGAUAACACGAGGUCUAGAGAGGAUGAGUAUUGAUGUAACAGAUAUGAAAAAAGGUGGAGACGGUCAUAGAUAUGUCCUCAGGUGCAUAGACCAUCAUUCCUGUUACGUAAAUCUUUAUCCAAUGAGAGGGAAAUGAGGUGGGAAGGUGGUGGUGAAGCUGAGAAACUACAUGACAGCAUAUGGCAGUCCAGAGAAGCUUGUUAGUGAUAAUGGGUGUGAAUUCUGAAACCGAGAGAUGUAAAGUUUAUGCAAAGAGGCAGGGAUCACUCAGCACUUGAUCACUCCAUACCAGCCUCAGAGCAAUGGUGUGGUAUAAAGAGUGGCUGGCUCAAUUAAACCCAUUAUUUGUAGUUUAGGAAAAGGGUUAGCGUAUCAGUGGCCCAAAUAUUUGAGUUGGUGUGCCAGGAGCUUAAAUGAAUGGGUACACAGUACCACAGGAACUACACCUUAUUGGGCAUUCUUCAAAGGUCAUCCUAAAAAGUACAUAGAGUUUAGGGUGGCAGAUCUUCCGGCAGACGAGGAAGGUUUGGAAUUGGCAGAGGACAGUAUGAAAGAACAGCGGGACAGAGCAGUAAAGACGUACUCACUCACAAACCAAAAAUGUGAAAAUUCAAAACAGGAAUGUGAAAUGUGGUAGUUUAGUGUGGGUAAAGAGAGAAGUGUUUGAUCCUUAUACCUCUGGUAAACUUUGUCACAAAUAGGUAGGACCAUAUGUAGUGGAAGUAGUGAUACGAGAGGGAGGUGCAUAUAUCCUUGGUGAUCCCAAAUCAGACAAAACUAUCAAAAGAGCAUCAGAUAAGGUCAAGCCUUGUUUAGGGACAGAUGCAUAGUUAAUUCCAGACAGUGUAAAGGUAGACUUCGACUCAGAAAGUGAAACUGAAGACUGAAAAAGAAUUAUGUUAGGAAACCUAGAGUGAGAAGGAAAGCUGAAAGACUAGGAAUAGACGUAUGAUUGUAAUGUGUAACUGUAGUGUGCCAACAAAAUACUGUGUAUAUAAGUUCUUGCAGAUGUACAAGAGAGGUGAAUGUGAGCCUGGCCUGCUGUGGAAGGAGGUUGCAGCAUGCCUGAGCUGGAGGUGGUCAUGACCGUGCACGUGGCGCCACCAGCUGUAGUAGCGGGCAUCUCAAGAUGGAGCAGCAUAGAAGAAAAGCAACUACUCCUAAGCUCUGUUCCAUGCCAGGCAGUGGUGAGGAAGGAAUAGGGGCAAGAUGACCAGGGAGUGAUCUGGCUGUCUUCUUGGGAACUACUCAGCGCACAGAGGAGGAUCUGGUCAAGUUUCCCCUCAUACAAAAGGUGGAGGAAGGAAGAGCGCAUAGAAAUGUCUGCAGUAUUCGAUGAAUUAGAGUGUCUUGAAGCCCUUGAAGACCUAGAUGCUGCAGACUAACAGGAUAUUCCCAGAAGGUGCAUCACUGACAGGAUGAAUCUUUUGCAUUCUCUGCAUGAUGAGUUCAUCAAAAGAUUUCGCUUAUCAAAAACAACAGCACUCAAUUUACUAGACAAGCUACAGAUUCAAGAAACUCGAGAUGGGAGGAUCACCAGUACCACCCCGCCUACAACUGUUAAUUACAUU
Molecule: non-coding RNA, 2628 nt
Organism: Penaeus vannamei (Pacific white shrimp)
Lineage: Eukaryota; Metazoa; Arthropoda; Malacostraca; Decapoda; Penaeidae
Source: RefSeq, a predicted model, not a curated record